RNAcentral lists this ribosomal RNA (404 nucleotides) under uncultured bacterium. Its description in RNAcentral is "bacterial SSU rRNA". It matches the Rfam family "Bacterial small subunit ribosomal RNA", at positions 355 to 775 of the family's 1533-position model. The record is from RNAcentral.
UAGGGAAUAUUGGUUAAUGUGCGAAAGUGCGAACCAGCAACGCCGCGUGUGCGAUGAAGGCCUUCGGGUCGUAAAGCACUUUUUGCAGGGAAGAGGAAGGACGGUACCUGCAGAAUAAGUCUCGGCUAGCUACGUGCCAGCAGCCGCGGUAAAACGUAGGAGACGAGCGUUAUCCGGAUUUACUGGGCGUAAAGCGCGUGCAGGCGGCAUGGCAAGUUGGAUGUGAAAGCUCCCGGCUUAACUGGGAGAGGUCGUUCAAUACUGCCAGGCUUGAGAGUGGUAGAGGGAAGCGGAAUUCCGGGUGUAGUGGUGAAAUGCGUUGAUAUCCGGAGGAACACCAGUGGCGAAAGCGGCUUCCUGGCCCAUUUCUGACGCUCAGACGCGAAAGCUAGGGUAGCAAACGG